CCUGCUCAAUGAAAUUUUAAAUAGCCGCAGAAUAUUCUGUGCUAAGGUAGCAUAAUCAUUUGUUUUUUAAUUUAAAACUAGAAUGAAAGGUUAAACGUUUUAAUUAUUUUAUUAUUAAUAAUUAUUUAAUUUAUAUUAAAUAUAAAAAUAUAUUUAUUAUAUAAAUAGACGAUAAGACCCUAUUGAACUUUACUUUAAGUUUAGCUGGGGCAGCUUAUUAAAUAUAAUUUUAAUUAUUUUUAUAAAAAAAAAUUCCAAUAUAAUUGAUUAUUUAAUCAAGUUACCAUAGGGAUAACAGCGUAAUAUUAUUCUAAAGUUCAUAUUUAAAAUAAUGUUUACGACCUCGAUGUUGAAUUAUUAUUACUUUUUAACGCAGUAGUUAUUUAAGUAAGUCUGUUCGACUUUUAAUAUAAUACA
RNAcentral lists this ribosomal RNA (417 nucleotides) under Ameridion petrum. RNAcentral describes it as "partial 16S ribosomal RNA". It matches the Rfam family "Bacterial large subunit ribosomal RNA", at positions 1858 to 2600 of the family's 2925-position model. Lineage: Eukaryota; Metazoa; Arthropoda; Arachnida; Araneae; Theridiidae. The record is from RNAcentral.